GUGCUCGCUUUGGCGGCAGAGAUAAUAAAACUGGAACGAUACAGAGAAAAUUAGCACGGCCCCUGCGCAAGGAUGACACGCAAAUUCGUGAUGCGUUCCAUGGUUUU
Small nuclear RNA from Sorex araneus (European shrew), 107 nucleotides. Lineage: Eukaryota; Metazoa; Chordata; Mammalia; Eulipotyphla; Soricidae. The record is from Ensembl.